CAGCCGCCACGGUAAUACGUAGGUGGCAAGCGUUGUCCGGAAUUAUUGGGCGUAAAGGGCUCGCAGGCGGUUUCUUAAGUCUGAUGUGAAAGCCCCCGGCUCAACCGGGGAGGGUCAUUGGAAACUGGGAAACUUGAGUGCAGAAGAGGAGAGUGGAGAUCCACGUGUAGCGGUGAAAUGCGUAGAGAUGUGGAGGAACACCAGUGGCGAAGGCGACUCUCUGGUCUGUAACUGACGCUGAGGAGCGAAAGCGUGUGGAGCGAACAGGAUUAGAUACCCCAGUAGUCCCUGUCUCUUAUAC
Molecule: ribosomal RNA, 301 nt
Filed under: uncultured bacterium
Lineage: Bacteria
Description: partial 16S ribosomal RNA
Rfam family: Bacterial small subunit ribosomal RNA
Source: RNAcentral